Herpailurus yagouaroundi (jaguarundi) is the source of this 2935-nucleotide long non-coding RNA. RefSeq lists it as uncharacterized. The record is from RefSeq and is a predicted model, not a curated record. The transcript is spliced from 2 exons. Lineage: Eukaryota; Metazoa; Chordata; Mammalia; Carnivora; Felidae.
UGUCACGUGGGCAUAUAGCCAGGUUGCCUUGAAGUUUGUUUUUUUUUUCUUAAGGAGGGGAUCCUACCACGUUCCCCCCUUUAAUGCUCGGACCCCUCUAUUUAGGGUCCAAGAGCAUGAUCUUGGUUUAGAGGUUUAUAUUUUUAUAACAUCAUUACACGAGUGGCCCUCUUUUUUUAAAUUAUGGCUCAGUGAGACUGGAGGCUGACCGUACCACCAGUGGACCAAAGGAGGGUGAGAUUAAGCACCCUCCUAAAUGAGGAGGAGCAUUGACUUCCAUGAGGGUUUUGGAUCCCCAGAGAGUUGAAAAACAUCCUCCAGAUAACUUGGCGGGGUUCCAACCGGUCCAGGUCCGGACGGGGACGUGAGCAACCUUUUUUCUUUGAUCUGUGAUCUCCUCUAGGACUCUCCCGUCAUCAUCUCUCUGUGGGCAACAGGUGCUCAGGUUAAGGUUUCCACAAACACCUCUCUCAGAAGCAAUCAGGUAAUCUAAGGCCAAGUAAUCUCGAUAGAUGGCGUUGAACAUUUGGGUUUGCUGCUUGGCUGGUAAGUUAAGGCUUCUGGCAGUUUCAUUGGUUAUAAUUUCUAUUAACUGCUUGCAGUCUGAGUAUGCAGUUUAGCACGUAAAUGGGGUGCGGCCAUCCUCUGCCGAGGUGGCAGGCCCAUAAUACUGGAUUAUAUGCUCGGGAGGCCAUCUAUUAUCGUUUUAACUGUUAAUUUUUAAGGCACGCUGCUUUCUUUGAGUCUCCCCGUGCCCAUACAUUUGGACUCCCAAAUGUUUCCCUCUGGCAAGUGGGAGCAGGAAGAAAGAUGGACGAAGAGUUCCCAACACAUAUGACCCUGACCAGACUGAGGAAAGUACCGCAUAGGCUGUCCUUUCAUAUACCGAGCAUAGUUCACCUGGGACCCACCAUUUGAUGGCUGCAUUGACAUUGUCUCAGGCCUCUCGGAGAUGAUAGAAGUCAGAAGAGGAGUGGGGAUCUGGUUCAAGGUGAUCUGGGGGUCCCCCACCAUUGGGUUUUCUGGGCAGUCGAGUUAUAAAAUCUUUGGCCUAGGCAUGUUAAAGUUUUUAACAAAGGCGACGAUGAACUUUUUCCCCACAAGGCAAGACGGUUUUUCCCAAUAAUUGAGUUUUUGAGAAGCCAAACCCCGGUAGUAGAACUGGGGUAUUUUGCUUUAGUAUAAGGUUUGUGGGAAUCUAAUUUUCUAGUCUCUUAUCGCCACUGUUUCCCCGUGUUGGUACCAACGAAGCAUCCUGUCCACAAAAGGAGGGUGAGUGUUAACAGCCAAGGCGGCCUCAGCCAAUCCUAUGACAAAGAGUAGAGCAAGAAUCACAAUAAUAGUGGGCAACAAGGCGUGACAGUGCCUCACAGCAAGGAAGCCUAUAAAAAUACGGACCGUCUUUUGUUUCAUUGGACCGUCGGUUGGUUCCUCAAGCUUCUGCCGUGCGUAGAUCAGUCAGCUUCCGGAGGGACUGAAGCAGGACUGUGGUCUCCCGGGGCCUCUGGAGUUGCAGAACCUUCCGUGUGGUCAGCUUGCACGGCGUGGAUGGAUCAGGAAGGCACUCCCAGUUUCGAGAUGCCGGCUUCACUCUGCCGUAGUGAACCCAGGGACCCGCUUCGGCUACUUUCCUGUGUAGGGGUGGACAAAAUGACAGUGAACGGUCCUCUCCAGAGGGGUUUAAGGGGUUGGACACUCCACUCCUUCACCCAUACAGCAUCUCCUGGUUUAAAGGGGUGAGUGUCUGUGGUCAGACUCACAGGUAAUCGCUCCCUGACCCAGCGGUGUAAGGUGGUUAGGGUAGAGGCAAGGGCUCACAUCUGUUGUCUUAGGGUUAGAUUGCCUGUCUCAUUUAGGUCCCCCCCCCCUUAUGCCCUUGAUAAUGGGGGGAGGGUGCCCAUAAAGGAUCUCAUAAGGGGAGAACCCGUCUGCUCCUUUAGCCUCCCGCCUGCAGCUGCCGUCUGCCUCCCUGAAGGCCCCUUCUCUCUCCCUGCCUAAUGUUCACCCUUUCCCUAUUCAUUGCUCCCCUGGAACAGGGCCUGUGUCUGCUGUGAGGGAACAGGGACGAUGACUGUCCUGGCUUCUUCAAGCUGAUAAGGGACGGUGUAAGGGUACAGCAGUUAGAGUCUACCCAAGGGUCGGUCGAGUGGUCCCCCGUGUGGUUUCACAGGAAGGCUGGCGGGCAUGAGGCGGCAUCACCAUCAGCAGACACAAAGGGAAAAACGCAAAGUGAAGAUUAUACGGACCAACAAGAUGGCAUCUUAAGAUAAUGUCUACAGUUUGCAAACCUGUCAGACAACCUAGGAGAGACCCUGACUUCGCAAACAACGUAGGUCAAGGACUCUCUCGUUAACCCAGGUGAUGGAGAAGCAGGCGAGCAGACCGCUUCGUUUUUCUUUGAACACUAUGGAAGGGAUAUCAGUAAGAAGAAAGUUCUUGCACCAGGAAGACCAAGAACUUUCUACCUUGGGAUGAAAUGCCACCUGCAGGCUCCUGCUCAGAACACAGUGCAGCUAGGAGAAGGCCAAACCACGACAAGACCACGUGCAGGUGCCCAGGGCCACACUGAGACCAGGACCAGACCCUGAGCGAUGGGGCCAGCUAGGAAGUGGGUCUUCCUGCCUCACAGAAGGUGGGCUUUCCAGAUGGUAAUGCCCAGGAUCUGUGAGUGGGCAGCAGGGUGUGGGGGAGGAGGCAGUGGCUGCUUUUUAUGCCAUCAAGUUCAAGGAGUUUCUAACACACCGGUAGCAACUAUGAGGGGAAAUUGACGUAUUUAUAAUGUCUUUGAAUACACAGUCUUUCUGGUGUUUACACCAAAGUCUUCUUUAUGCCCCUAAAAUGGUAUUUUCUUCAUAAAGGAUAUACACGUCUCUUACUAAAUUUAUUGCUAAGUAUUUUGUUGCUAGUUUGCUAUUAUAAACACCAUUUCUAUCAA